CGACGGCGAACCGGCGGGUACAUCUCCGGCUGAAGAAGUAAUGACUACUUUUUCUCGCCACCAUUUCGGGACUUCCGAAGACACCGCCGAUGGCUUCUCCGUCACCAUUAUCGAGAACAUGAAAGAAGAGUACGGUUUGUUCGUAUGGCCUUGCAGUAUUAUUCUAGCUGAGUACGUAUGGCAACAAAAGUCGCGCUUUACUGGCGCAUCUGUGGUUGAGCUUGGGGCAGGGACCUCGUUGCCUGGGCUGGUUGCUGCAAAAGUGGGUGCAGAUGUGACGCUGACUGACGAUUCUAACAGAUCAGAGG
This 308-nucleotide unclassified non-coding RNA is filed under the name Hevea brasiliensis (rubber tree). Lineage: Eukaryota; Viridiplantae; Streptophyta; Magnoliopsida; Malpighiales; Euphorbiaceae. The record is from RNAcentral.